RNAcentral lists this ribosomal RNA (699 nucleotides) under Enterobacter ludwigii. RNAcentral describes it as "bacterial SSU rRNA". It matches the Rfam family "Bacterial small subunit ribosomal RNA", at positions 816 to 1533 of the family's 1533-position model. The record is from RNAcentral. Lineage: Bacteria; Pseudomonadati; Pseudomonadota; Gammaproteobacteria; Enterobacterales; Enterobacteriaceae.
UGGGGAGGGUUGUGCCCUUGAGGCGUGGCUUCCGGAGCUAACGCGUUAAGUCGACCGCCUGGGGAGUACGGCCGCAAGGUUAAAACUCAAAUGAAUUGACGGGGGCCCGCACAAGCGGUGGAGCAUGUGGUUUAAUUCGAUGCAACGCGAAGAACCUUACCUACUCUUGACAUCCAGAGAACUUUCCAGAGAUGGAUUGGUGCCUUCGGGAACUCUGAGACAGGUGCUGCAUGGCUGUCGUCAGCUCGUGUUGUGAAAUGUUGGGUUAAGUCCCGCAACGAGCGCAACCCUUAUCCUUUGUUGCCAGCGGUUAGGCCGGGAACUCAAAGGAGACUGCCAGUGAUAAACUGGAGGAAGGUGGGGAUGACGUCAAGUCAUCAUGGCCCUUACGAGUAGGGCUACACACGUGCUACAAUGGCGCAUACAAAGAGAAGCGACCUCGCGAGAGCAAGCGGACCUCAUAAAGUGCGUCGUAGUCCGGAUUGGAGUCUGCAACUCGACUCCAUGAAGUCGGAAUCGCUAGUAAUCGUAGAUCAGAAUGCUACGGUGAAUACGUUCCCGGGCCUUGUACACACCGCCCGUCACACCAUGGGAGUGGGUUGCAAAAGAAGUAGGUAGCUUAACCUUCGGGAGGGCGCUUACCACUUUGUGAUUCAUGACUGGGGUGAAGUCGUAACAAGGUAAACCGUAAACGAUCAC